CCUACGGGAGGCAGCAGUGGGGAAUAUUGCACAAUGGGGGAAACCCUGAUGCAGCGACGCCGCGUGAGGGAAGAAGGAUUUCGGGAGGUAAAGCUCUAUCAGCAGGGAAGAAAAGGACGGUACCUGACUAAGAAGCCCCGGCUAACUACGUGCCAGCAGCCGCGGUAAGACGUCGGGGGCAAGCGUUCUCCGGAUGUACUGGGUGUAAAGGGAGCGUAGACGGCACGACAAGUCAGAAGUGAAAGCCCAGGGCUCAACCCUGGGACGGCUUUUGAAACUGCCGGGCUUGAGUGCCGGAGUGGUCAGCGGCCUUCCUCGUGUAGCGGUGUACUGCGUCGCUAUUCGGCGGAACCCCAGUGGCGCUGGCGGCUUACUGGACUGUAACUGCCGUUGAGGCUCG
This 400-nucleotide ribosomal RNA is filed under the name uncultured bacterium. Its description in RNAcentral is "partial 16S ribosomal RNA". It matches the Rfam family "Bacterial small subunit ribosomal RNA", at positions 338 to 755 of the family's 1533-position model. The record is from RNAcentral.